UUGAAGUUGAUGGAAAAGUGGUAAUAAGGGGGAUAUUAACAACUAGUGAGAAAAUAGUAUGCAAGGAUUUCAAAAUUUUUGUUAAGCUCACACAAAAUCUAUGCUCACCGACACCCUUCAUCUCAUCCCAGCUACCUGGUCUGGUCAAUAACCAAGAAGCGACCACUUAUUUGGCAAACAGAAUGCUUGAAGCCAUUGAGAAGAAAAAUUUCAAAGUCCGCUAUCUUCUCACUAGUUGUUGGUAUCCCCUUAUUACCACUUUUCCAUCGGCUUCAAU
This 277-nucleotide microRNA precursor is filed under the name Gossypium raimondii (Peruvian cotton). Its description in RNAcentral is "miR8656 stem-loop (gra-MIR8656)". Lineage: Eukaryota; Viridiplantae; Streptophyta; Magnoliopsida; Malvales; Malvaceae. The record is from miRBase by way of RNAcentral.